UCCAAAAUUUAUUUUACUUUUGUGAUCAAAAAGCCCCGUCUGGAAAUACAAUUUUGAUUACCAGACCCAGAUUAUUUUUGACCUCUGAAACUUGCUAAGGUUAUGUUUUUGUAAUUUGUCUGUUUUGCAUAAUCAAAGGAAUCCACAUCAACAGGGAGAUCCUGAUUCCUUUGAUCCUUCUUGCUGAACUUAUUGUACAUGUCAACUGCCGUGAUCAAGUAAUGAGGACACACGGAAUCCGGAUCAAAGAUGAAAUAUCAAAGACGAACUCUGGGCUUUGAUCCAGAUCUGCACUAAAAUUUAAUCAACGCUUUCUUGGCCCAGUGCCUACUAUGCUACCAAAUUUCAAUCAAAUCGUUCAUGUCUUUCUGCGAUACUAACCUGCUAACUCACU
Thalassophryne amazonica is the source of this 394-nucleotide long non-coding RNA. RefSeq lists it as uncharacterized. The transcript has 3 exons. The record is from RefSeq and is a predicted model, not a curated record. Lineage: Eukaryota; Metazoa; Chordata; Actinopteri; Batrachoidiformes; Batrachoididae.